This 216-nucleotide long non-coding RNA is filed under the name Mytilus galloprovincialis (Mediterranean mussel). The record is from RNAcentral. Lineage: Eukaryota; Metazoa; Mollusca; Bivalvia; Mytilida; Mytilidae.
GCGAUUGAAUAGAUUAAAAACCAUAAUGCAUUAAAAUGUUGUACAAUUGUAUUUCAAGAAAUUUGUACAUAUAAUUUAUACAUAUAUACCAGCAGCUGAUUACUAACCUGGGUAAUCAGUAGAAUAUUACAGGAUGCAUAAAAAAAAGCUUGGUUUCUUGAAGUAACAAUGUAACAAGCAUGUUUGGUGAAUAAAUAUAUAAUGUCGUUAAAAAAA